CUUUUGGAAUUGUUAGAUACCCACUUCCUGUUUGUGGAUAUCAGGACUUAAAAAAUGUCAUAUAUUUCUUGAUACUUCUGAAUAGAAUACAUUCAUAUUUGGUCAACAGCUCACCAAUGAUGAGUUGUAAUGACUAAUGUAAGUGUGCUUUUUAUAACACUCUUAAUCUUCUUCCUGUUUUCUAAUACCUUAAAUGAUGAGUGAGGGUAUGCUAAGCACCACAACAUGUGUGUUCUUGUUGAGUUCUUGGAUUACUGAAAUUAAGAGCCGAG
Molecule: long non-coding RNA, 272 nt
Filed under: Mytilus galloprovincialis (Mediterranean mussel)
Lineage: Eukaryota; Metazoa; Mollusca; Bivalvia; Mytilida; Mytilidae
Source: RNAcentral